This 7598-nucleotide long non-coding RNA is filed under the name Phoenix dactylifera (date palm). RNAcentral describes it as "long non-coding RNA (PDAC_LNC001653)". Lineage: Eukaryota; Viridiplantae; Streptophyta; Magnoliopsida; Arecales; Arecaceae. The record is from RNAcentral.
GGGAGUCGACUUUCGUGAGACAACAGAGAAGUGCCUCCUCUAUAAAAGUACUCCCCUCCCCUCUAUAGCCCUCCACCAACGACGAUUGCACCUCCUUCUCUCUCUUUUCUUCCUUCAAAAUUGCAGCAUCCAGUUACCGUGCCCAUCGGAAUUUCAAGUUGUGGUGCUCGUCAGAGUCAAGGUAAGAGGCUUGAUCUCGUCCCUUAUCCUUCUCCUAAUCUCUCCUUAUGAUGGAGCUCACCGCUGGUUGAGGAAAUCUACCGAAAUCAAUGAUCAGAAGAAAUUCUUGUUCACGCCCCCUAUUUUUUUCUUUUUGGCAGCCUCCGCCGCUAGAGUUCAUCUCCGAGAGACUCAUUCUCUUUCUUAUAUUGGCCCCUGGCCUCCAUCGAAGCUCUAGCCACCAGUGAGUAGACUGGGACAUGAAAUUCAAGCCAAAAACACCUCUAUUUUGCCCAUGUUUUUGGUCUUCUUCUCUCCCUUUUUCAACUACCGCUACCGGCUACCCAUCACCACUGCCGGCUGCCACCUUGCCAGGCCACCUUGAUCCCAGCCACCGGUCAUUCCCCUUCCUCCUCUAUUUUACCAAGGAAGAAAGAAAAGAAGAAGAAGAACGAAGAAAGAAGAAGAGAAGAGAGAGAAUCGUUCCUCUCUUUCUCUCUCUUAUUCUACUCUUCUCUCUCUCAUUUCUCUCUCCUCUCUCCACAUUCUCUCUCUACUUUCUCUCUCUAGAAUAUCCAAAGAAUUUAGUAUUGGGUUCUGUUGACUCGAAUUCGAGUUGACUCUUGUAAAGGGCCCUAAUUCCGCUCUAGUGCUCGGGUUGUCUAUUGGACCGAUCACCCAAACCUUGUUGAAUAUCUUUGAAACCCUCAUCGAUGAACUACAUUGAUUAAUCUUAGCCCUCAUCAAGUCCAUGCUCUAUAAUUUAUUGAUCAAAUCGCUCAGGCCUGACCCACCCAAAACCACCAAACACUGUUACCCGACCAACCAUCUCCUUUUUCAUAUUUAUUUUAAUUUGAAUAUAUAUAUAUAUAUAUAUAUAUAUAUAUAUAUAUAUAUAUAUAUAUAUAUAUAUACUANNNNNNNNNNNNNNNNNNNNAUUUAUUAUUAUUAUAUAUAUAUAUAUAUAUAUAUAUAUAUAUAUAUAUAUAUAUAUAUAUAUAUAUCCAUGGUUCUAGACUUCAAAAACUCUAGUAUUUGUUAACAAAUUUCAUCGCCAUGUAUAGAAACAUAACAAGAAAUAUUUAUUGUAUUUCUGGUUCCUCAUAAUUUACAUAAUAUAUUUACAAAGCAAAAGAUUGGAGGCCCAUUUUCAAUAAAAGUGCGCCAAAAAUAUGAAAUAUUCAUUAAGCUCCAUGAUUUUAGACUUCAUUGAACUCCAAUCCAGUAUUUGCUAAUAGAUUUCACACCAUAUGUAAGACCAUAUCAAGAAAAAGAGCAUUGUUCUUAUAUUUCCAAAUCUUGUUAUCUUACAAAAUCUAUGUACGAAGCUAAUAAUUGGACGUUCAAAUUCAAUGAAACCGCAUCUAAAGGUUGGUUGAGUUCAAUGAUUUUAGACUUUUACCAACUCCAAUCUUCAGUGGUCGCCAACAGAUCUUAUAAUAUAAUAUAUAUACACACAUAUGCAUAUAUGUACACAUACAUAUAUAUGUGAUGGAAAAUAUUAGUAAAAUUUAGAAUCCGUGCUUCGUACAACUAAAUAAAUUUCACCAUAAAACACUUUCUAAGCAGGAAGUCCCAGUAGAUCUUUCUUUCAGGCACCCAAAUUUCGACUAUCCUCAAAAUGCCAGCAAAUCUUCUAUAUUUACUUAUUGUCAUUUCCUUUCUAAAAUUCACUCGCGCGCGCGCAUAUAUAUAUAUUAAUUUUUUAUUUUUAAAAUUCAAUGUAUGUUCCAAAUUGUGCAGUGAUGUUGCAGCCUGCCCGUUGCAUAGCAGCCCAACAUCUUCAUUCCCAUUUGGCACCAAGGCCCACUUCUCCAACGUGGUGGGCUGGUUGUUGCUCAUUGCCUACAAGGCCCAAUUCCAAUCCCCAACUCUGUUCUCCUCUUCCAUUUUGGAUAUUAAUCCCUUUCUAUUCCCGCUGUGUGUGUGUGUGUGUGUGUGAGAGAGAGAGAGAGAGAGAAUGAGAGAGAUAGAGGCCCCUAGGAAUCUCCCGGCCAUAGAUUCCUGGUUCUUGCUCUCUUCUAGUACUCUAAGGUAAGCCCCCAAAGUCCCUACUUGUCCUCCUUUUUUCCUGAAUUUUUAUGGUUUUUUGGUGCUUUUUUGGUGUUUGGAUCGCUGGGUUUGCUAAAAAUGUUUUUCUUUUCAUGUAUGUGUAGGUGUGUGGUUGUAUGCAUGUGUGUGUCCGUGUGUGGUGUGGAAGGGGUUGUCUUGGUUGUAGAUUUAUUUUAUUUGCUAGAUUAUAAAUUCUAGCUUUCUCUGUGUUUGCCGGGGUUUGGUUUUUUCUUUCUUUUUUUUUGAGUUUAUUCGGUGGAUUUCGAUGGAUAUCGGGUCAAUUUCGCAUUUUUAAGUUUCAAUGCAUGCCUAGUGAAUGUGAAAUGUCGAAUUUUUUUGGCAAAAUUUUGUCAAAAGGGUUUGUAGAUCGAGUAAGUGGUGGAGGCUCCUAAGUGAAAUAAGUCACGAGUAGUUGUAGAAACUACAAGUAAAGAAACUUUUCUUGAGGAAACAGAAAGGUGUAUCAGUUGCGGUACGAUACCGAUAACUAUAUUUCUGGUCUAUUUUGGAACUUUUGUAUUAUUAUUGUUUUCAAAGUUGGAAAUGAAGUCGGCAUAUGAUUUGCUGACUUUAACUCAAAUUUCAAAAAAAAACUUUGAAAUAGGAAAUGAAAAUGGUCUCCCCUGUUCCACUCUCCUAUAUUCCAAAAUGAAGAAGACGGAAGGGAGAGAGGGGCUGGGAGAAAAGGAGAGAGGAAGAAAGAGUGCCGCCUUGCAAACCCUAACCCUAAAUCGAGUGCGUGCACACACGCGAUAGAGAAAGAGAGAGAGAGAGAGAGAGAAAGGGAGGGAGGAAACCACUUACCAGACCAUCGGGAGUGGUCAUUGGGGGUUAGGGGUUGUUCAUGAGUGGGCAUCUCUCGAAAUCGCGAUCGGAUGAGGCUUGCAUCAUGAGCGAGUGAGAUUAAGAGUGGUGUUUAAUUUCCGAAUUGGGACCAUCAUGAAAUUAAUAGCCAAACUAUCUUAGUCCUCAACUGGCCCUGUUUGAUAUCUUUGCUACAAAUAUAUGCAAUUUCUACCUACAAUCUGAAGAAAACUAAAGCAACAGGAUUACCCUCAUCAAAUAAAGCUUGGAAAGUAAAUGAAACAAAACACAAAAGAAUAACUAACUCUUCUAACCAGUAAUGAAACAAAAUCCAAUGGAGAGGAAAGGAGGGAAUGUGCGCAUCAGUCAAUUUUCAUCUUAACAACUCAAGAAAAAGUUAGUGCACAUAUAAUUUGAGCAUCAAAAAAUUCCAUUAAGUUCACUAUCUAUAUAAAAGACUGCAUGUUCGCUUGAUAUUGAGAAUGAUAUUAAUGGAAAAAAAUAUUGACAUUGGUCUAAGUUUUCUGCUUUAUUUGUACUUUUAGACUUAGUUUUGUAAAACUUUAGAACAUUUAAUCUUUUUAAAAUGAGUAAAUACUAUGAAUGCAGCUUAGUAUAGAAGGUUUCUUUUUUAUUAUUAAGAAAUAGGUUUAUAAGGGAGAAGCUUUCCAGUUAGCAUUGAGUUCAUUUCUAUUGUUGGAUAUCAAAAUGUGCAAUUUUGUUUGGAAUUGGCAUCGACUUCACUUCUAUCAUUUGGUUAAAAUGUAUAUGUUUGCUUGGAAAGAGAAAGAUUUGUUAAAAUUGGCUUUGACUAGCAUUUAUGCAUAUAUUUAACCAAACAUAACACAAGUUUAUGGGCUUUAUGCUUGAGAGAGAGGAUACAAGAGUCCAAUGUAUUGCUCAAUAACUUGGCGUGUCACCUGUGCUCCUUUUCCAAACUUGUAUGGAACUUAUUGUUUUACUAAUGAUUGAUAAAAUUGUUUUCUAUGCUUUGCUAAAGAUUUCUGAUUGUAUACUUGAAAAAGGUUCAUGUUUGAUUAACAUGCUCUAAUUUGACUACAUACUUGGCAUGUGAGAUCUGCUUAACUACUGAAUUAAGGAAAAGAAGCAUUGAUGUUUCACCUCUGGCCGGCAUUUAGCAUGAAAACAGAGUACAUAGUAUCUCCUUAUAGUGAAAAUUGAUACAUUAUCUGGAAAUGCCGCCGCACCUUGUUCUGCGGUAGUCUUAAAUGUAAUUUCCCCCUAAUAACCUUUGUAAUGAGUGUGAUGUUACCCAAAAAUUUGGUAGGAAGAGAAGAAUCUAAAAAUGCUAUACCUCCUCCCCAACCUACCAUAACACACACACACAUACACAAAAAAAAGUAAUUAGUUUCUUGUCUUUGCAGCAGCUCGAAAUAUUUCAUGUUAUCUAUUACAAGUGACUCACAGUAAGUAGAAAUUAAAGUUGUGGCAGUACAGUUUGGCAGUGAAUUAUUUAUACCAUCUGUUGGUGUAAAUCUUUGAGGUGAAGUUGUAUAUUAAUAUGGAGAUGAUUUGGGCCUGUAGAAAUUGGGUUUUAUCAUUAACCAGCGAGCUUAACAAAUAUUAUUAGCCAAGAUAGAUUGCACCAAGAGCAUCAGGAAAUCAUGUAAUAUUAGGUCUAAUAUAACUUUAACUACCAUCAAUGCAUAUAUAUAACUGAACAUGAGUGCUUGAGACUUGUUCUAUCUUCAAACUCAUCUCCACCAAGUAGGUUUGUUUCAAUAAUUUGGUAACUUAGAAAUUCGGCUCUCUAAUGAGCAUAUCUAGCUGAUGGUAAUUCGUUACACUGAUAUAAGUAUUUUGCUUAUGGAAACUUAGUAAAACCACUGAGGAGUUCUUUCACAAACACAUACAUAAAUACAGACCCAAGAAAACAGUACUAAUCCAUGGAGGAGACUGACUUUUCAGGAAGAUGGAUCUUAGUUUCAGAUGAUGUGUGUUGGCCAUCCCACCAUAAAAGUAAUUAUGAAAGUGCAAACAACAUGAAGCUAGGUUUUUAUAUUAGCAAACAGUCCAGUGUAAACCCCCUCCAAAAACCAUUAUGCCCCUAACAUCUAGGAUCAGGAGGGCUUAUCAAUGCUCUACUCAAAGUUGGAUGGUUAUUGCUUGGAAUUAAGCAUGGGUUCUCAAUGACAAACAAAUAUCCAUUAAUGGAUGCAUGCAGUUAUCCAUGAACUAAUAUGUACAAAAUAAAAAACUUGACCAAUCUGCAUUGUCAGGAUGCUUGUAUCCGCACCAUGCACACAGAGCUCAAUCGAUCAAGUUGAAUCAUGCAUGUAUAUAUAUGAAUGUAAUCUUUGAUUCAAAAGAGGACAUGCCCAACCAGAAUCUACUAGCUGCAGAAGCAAUAAUUGUAAGACUACAUGCAUUUACACUUUCAAUUUAGGACUGAAAAAAUGAAGUAACUUGAGACAUCGACCUGUUAAUUGUUAAACAUUUUAGCCGAAUUUGUCAUUCCAUCAAAUGAUAAAAACCAACAGAAGUUUCUUUGAAAAAUCAGAAAAGCUGAAAAGAUCUGAAGAGAGACGUAGAAUAACAGAAGAUUGGACAUUACACUGAUGAUAAUUAAAUAAAGUUUACAUGGGAGGGGAAUUUUCUGAAUGGAGAUUAACCUCAAGUCAUCAUAUAUAUGAUGGCUACCCAUUACAAAAGUUGUUGGAAAAUAAAUUUGCCUAGAAACUUCUAUAUCUUUAUUUUAUAGAAGUAUUAUAAAAAAAUAAUCUACUAGAAUAAAAUCAGAAGAUUGAAAAAAGCAUGCCUAGAUCGAGGCGUGUAUACAUAUGCCCUAAGAACUUAAUUCGUCCUUUACAUACAGAAUUGCGGCAAUCUUGUCCCCAAGGUACAACAACCCGGCUCAAUCCGAUCUUCCUCUAAUGAGCACAAUCGCUGAGGAAGCUUAACCUGAUUGACUCCUUUAGAUGCCCAAUAAAUAAAAAAAUAAAAAGUAGGAAGUCAAACAGUGGAAGAAUUCUCUAUAUGUAGAAGAAACACUCGAGAGAUAGAGUACUAGUGAGAAAGAGAGAGAUUGGAUUGUUUUUUUGAUUAAUAGACUCUCUUCAAAAAAUUGAAGAGGCGUGAUGGUUCCGAAGAUACGUAAUGUUUCGGAAACACCAUAUUUUUUUAAAAACCAAUAUUCUCUUUUGAAAAGCCCUUUCUAUUCCCGCUGUGAAAGAGAGAGAGAGAGAGAGAGAGAGAGAAUGAGAGAGAUAGAGGCCCCUAGGAAUCUCCCAGCCAUAGAUUCCUGGUUCUUGCUCUCUUCUAGUACUCUAAGGUGAGCCCCCAAAGUCCCUACUCAUCUUCCUUUUUUCCUGAAUUUUUAUGGUUUUUUUUCUUUUUUUAUGUUUGGAUUGCUGGGUUUGCUAAAAAUGUUUUUCUUUUUGUGUAUGUGCAGGUGUGUGGUUGUAUGCGUGUGUGUCCAUGUGUGGUGUGGAAGGGGUUGUUUUAGUUGUAGAUUUAAACUUUAUUUGGGAAAGCUAUUGGCAGUAGAGCUUUUAGAAGCAGAGCUUUUGGAAGUAGAGUUAUUUGAAGUAGAGUUUUGAUAAAAAGUUGUUUGCUGUUUGGUAACUACAUUUCUAAAGUGCUAUGAUAUUUUAACAUGUGUUUGGUAAACAAACUGAGAAAGUACUUUUGGUAUGACAAAAUGGCCAUAAAAAAUAUUGUAUAGUAUUAUACAACAAAGCAUAAUAAUAUAUAUAUAUAUAUAUAUUAAUACAUAAAUAUAUAAUAUAGUAUAAUAUUACUGUAAUGUAAUAUAAUAUUGUAAUAAUAUAAUAAUAUAAUAUCGUAUAUUAUAUCAUAAUAAUUUGAUAUAAUAUUAAAUUAUUUAACAUAACAUAUUAAUGUAUUAUGAUAUAAUGUAAUAUAACAUUAUAUUUAUAGUAUAAUACAAUAAUAAAGAUAUAAAAUAUUAUAAUUAUUAACAUAAAUUAAUUUUUCAUAAUAUAAUAUAAUAUUAAAUUAUAUAAUAUAAUAUAUUACUAUAUUAUGAUAUAAUGUAAUAUAAUAUUAUAUUUAUAGUAUAAUACAAUAAUAAAGAUAUAAAAUAUUAUAAUUAUUAGUAUAAAUUAAUUUUUUAUCCUCCUGAUGAUCAUUUAUCUCUGUAAUAAAUUUUCUAACAAAUUUUUAGGAUUAUAAAGAAAUAUUUUGUGUAAUUGUUAUAUUUUAUCAUGGGUAUGUUGAUCAAAAAAAUAACUUCUCGACCGGGCUUCAAAAUGCUUUUCUGAAAAAAAUUUCAAAAUGGGGAUUCUUCCAAAAAGCUGUUUUUAGCUUUUUGAAAAAGCUAAAAUAUCUUUUCAAAAUUUUUACUAAACACUCCUAUUUUAUCUAAAAAUACUUUUGGAAGGCCAGAAUGUAAUUUUUGGUCCUCCAAAAGCUCCUCCAAACAGGGCCUUAUAUUCUAUUUGCUAGAUUAUGGAUUCUAGCUUUCGCUAUUUUUGCCGGGGUUUGGUUUUUUCUUUCUUUUUUUUUGAGUUUAUUCGGUGGAUUUCGAUGGAUAUCUGAUCAAUUUCGCAUGUUUAGGUUUUAAUGCAUGUCUAGUGCAUGUGAAAUGUCGAACUUCUUUG